Molecule: long non-coding RNA, 901 nt
Filed under: Citrus maxima (pomelo)
Lineage: Eukaryota; Viridiplantae; Streptophyta; Magnoliopsida; Sapindales; Rutaceae
Description: long non-coding RNA (CMAX_LNC002266)
Source: RNAcentral
UAAAAAGGAAGUCUAUAUAAGGAGGGGAACGAGCUUUGUUUAUAGCACAAGUGAAACUCCACUUUAUUGAACGAUGGGGUCUCAAAUGGGCUGCCUCUUUGCCACUCUUUUGGUAGUAUCAGUCUCUCUUAGCUACUUGCCGUUAGAAGCCUCCGCAAACAAAUACUACUACACAUCUCCUCCCCCUCCCAAGUACAAGUCUCCACCACCACCCCCGCCACCGGUUCACAAUUCUCCACCACCACCCCCGGUUUACCUGCCCCCGCCACCUCCUCCACCAGUCUACGUGCCUGCUCCGGCACCAACUCCAAUUUUCCCUUCUCCGCCACCUCCUGUCCCCAAGUCCCCACCACCACCUCACCCUUACGUCUAUGCAUCUCCCCCUCCUCCUUACUACUACUAGAAAGCGGCCAUGAAUAGCUCAUGCUUUUAUGGUAAUCUCAUUUAUUUUUAAAACUGUACAUGUAAAGACUAGUAGUUCAGAAUUACAUUAAGCAUUUCAAUUUUAAGCACCGUGUUCUGUUUAAUUGCGUUCCUAUUGAUUAAGUGACAAAUAAAAGAGAUUGAUUAAUUUGUUCUUGUAGGAGAGGCGAAUGGUAUCCGAAUAAAGAAAGCAAGGAUUUGAUGGAAGGCUUACUUGGAGCAAGAUAGCAAUCAAUCGAGUUGCUGCGUUUUAUUCUCUUUUCUCUUUGUUUUUUAAGAAAAAUAAACUGCCACACGUAGAAACAGAAAAUUAAGUUCUUGUCAUUUUCAUGCAUAUGGAUUGUUGCUGUGUGUGUCAAUCAAAUCUCCGUUGUGUCAUUUGUAAUUUUCAACCUUUAUGCAUGCAAAUGCGAGACCUCUUACGUAUAAUAAAAUUAAUAUACUUCCCAAGAUGGUCUUAUCUUGCGUUGACUUUUUA